CAAGUCGAACGCGAAAGUUCCCUUCGGGGAGCGAGUAGAGUGGCGCACGGGUGAGUAACACGUAGGUAAUCUACCUUUGGAUUGGGAAUAACAACCGGAAACGGUUGCUAAUACCGAAUAAUGCAGCGGCACCUAAUGGUGACAGUUGUUAAAGCGGGGGAUCGCAAGACCUCGCGUCUAAAGAGGAGCCUGCGGCGGAUUAGCUAGUUGGUAAGGUAAUGGCUUACCAAGGCGAUGAUCCGUAGCCGGCCUGAGAGGGCGGUCGGCCACACUGACACUGACAUACGGGUCAGACUCCUACGGGAGGCAGCAGUCGGGAAUUUUGGGCAAUGGGCGAAAGCCUGACCCAGCAACGCCGCGUGAAGGAUGAAAUCCCUCGGGAUGUAAACUUCGCAAGAACGGGAAGAAUAAGUGAGGGUUAAUAUCCCUUACGAUGACGGUACUGUUUGUAAGCUCCGGCUAACUCCGUGCCAGCAGCCGCGGUAAUACGGGGGGAGCAAGCGUUGUUCGGAUUUACUGGGCGUAAAGGGCGCGUAGGCGGCCACUGCAAGUCAGUUGUGAAAUCUCCGGGCUUAACCCGGAAAGGUCAACUGAUACUGCAGGGCUAGAGUGCAGAAGGGGCAACUGGAAUUCUCGGUGUAGCGGUGAAAUGCGUAGAUAUCGAGAGGAACACCUGCGGCGAAGGCGGGUUGCUGGGCUGACACUGACGCUGAGGCGCGAAAGCCAGGGGAGCGAACGGGAUUAGAUACCCCGGUAGUCCUGGCCUUAAACGAUGAAUGCUUGGUGUCUGGGGUUUUAUAGUCCCCGGGUGCCGUCGCUAACGCUUUAAGCAUUCCGCCUGGGGA
RNAcentral lists this ribosomal RNA (845 nucleotides) under uncultured Bacillota bacterium. RNAcentral's name for it is "bacterial SSU rRNA". It matches the Rfam family "Bacterial small subunit ribosomal RNA", at positions 58 to 879 of the family's 1533-position model. The record is from RNAcentral. Lineage: Bacteria; Bacillati; Bacillota.